RNAcentral lists this ribosomal RNA (491 nucleotides) under Anelpistina quintanarooensis. RNAcentral describes it as "Anelpistina sp. 1 LE-2013 partial 16S ribosomal RNA". It matches the Rfam family "Bacterial large subunit ribosomal RNA", at positions 1832 to 2600 of the family's 2925-position model. The record is from RNAcentral. Lineage: Eukaryota; Metazoa; Arthropoda; Insecta; Zygentoma; Nicoletiidae.
GGUCCUGUGAGUGUAUGCAGGAUUUGGCCUGCCCCAUGAUUAAUUAAAUGGCCGCAGUAUUUUGACUGUGCAAAGGUAGCAUAAUCAUUAGUUCUUUAAUUGGGAUCUGGUAUGAAGGGUUGGACGAGGGGAUAGCUGUCUAAAUUUUGAUUGAUUUGAAUUUUAUUUUUGAGUGAAAAGGCUCAAAUGGGCCUGAGGGACGAUAAGACCCUAUAGAGCUUUAUUUUCUUGGGUGUAAGCAAUAUAUUUGGGGAAAAUUUUGUUGGGGUGACAGGGAGAUAUGGGUAACUCUCUUUAAUUGUAAUUAUUUAUUGGUAUGUGUAAAGAUCCAUUUUUGAUGAAAAUAGGAAUAAGUUACCUUAGGGAUAACAGCGUAAUUUUUCCUGAGAGUUCUUAUCGACGGAAAAGCUUGCGACCUCGAUGUUGGAUUAAAGGGUUUUGGUGGUGGAGAAGCUACCAUGGAGGGUCUGUUCGACCUUUAAAUCUUUACA